GGAAGUAAAAGUCGCAACAAGGUUUCCGUAGGUGGACCUGCGGAAGGAUCAUUAAUGAGUUGUCAUGGGGUUCGAUGCUGGCAGCCAGUUUUUGGAUGCAUGUGCUUGCCCUAACAAUCAUCUUCUUCCAAACACCUGUGCACAUUUUUGAGGGAGUCUUGAGUUGGUUGCCGCUCUUGGGUGAUUUUCUCACAUUCCCUUAAAUCAUUAUACGCUAUUAACAAUGUUGAACGUGCUCUGUGCCGCAAGGCCAUUAAUAUAAUACAACUUUUAACAACGGAUCUCUUGGCUCCC
This 294-nucleotide unclassified non-coding RNA is filed under the name plant metagenome. Its description in RNAcentral is "partial contains small subunit ribosomal RNA and internal transcribed spacer 1". The stretch from base 1 to 54 matches the Rfam family "Eukaryotic small subunit ribosomal RNA", at positions 1778 to 1831 of the family's 1831-position model. The record is from RNAcentral.